RNAcentral lists this transfer RNA (58 nucleotides) under Salmo salar (Atlantic salmon). It matches the Rfam family "tRNA", at positions 8 to 63 of the family's 71-position model. From Rfam's summary of the family: Transfer RNA (tRNA) molecules are approximately 80 nucleotides in length. Their secondary structure includes four short double-helical elements and three loops (D, anti-codon, and T loops). Lineage: Eukaryota; Metazoa; Chordata; Actinopteri; Salmoniformes; Salmonidae. The record is from Rfam by way of RNAcentral.
UGGCUCAGUUGGUAGAGAAUGGUAUUUGCAACGCCAGGGUUGUGGGUUCAAUUCCCAC